Octodon degus (degu) is the source of this 107-nucleotide small nuclear RNA. The record is from Ensembl. NCBI's taxonomy places the organism in Eukaryota, Metazoa, Chordata, Mammalia, Rodentia, Octodontidae.
GUGCUUGCUUGGGCAGCACGUAUACUAAAAUUGGAACCAUACAGAGAAGAGUAGCAGGGCCCCUGCGCAAGGAUGACACACAAACUUGUGAAGUGUUCCAGAUUUUU